RNAcentral lists this small RNA (82 nucleotides) under Stephanopyxis turris. RNAcentral describes it as "partial Alphaproteobacteria transfer-messenger RNA". The record is from RNAcentral. Lineage: Eukaryota; Bacillariophyta; Melosirophyceae; Stephanopyxales; Stephanopyxidaceae.
AGACAUGCGCAGUGUCUUUUCAACUGCUGCAAGCUUACCUACAUUGUUUCCGCAGUCUCAAUCAUCGCACUCGUCAUUUUUG